Vicia faba (fava bean) is the source of this 309-nucleotide non-coding RNA. NCBI's taxonomy places the organism in Eukaryota, Viridiplantae, Streptophyta, Magnoliopsida, Fabales, Fabaceae. The record is from the annotation of a GenBank genome assembly.
AUGAAAUUAUCAACAAAAUCUUUUGAACCACCCUUGCCAACCUCUCCAACUCCAACAUUCAUUCAACAUCAACAUCCAAAACCGUGGAUUUUACAAAAACAAUACACAUCGACAAAAAGAGUAGAGACGAAGAACAAAGAGGAAAGUAAGAUGGAAACGCAAAGCAGAGAAGAACCGUACCUCAUCAAAAAUCCGGCGAAAACCUCCUCGUCGAAGGGUUUCCGAUCAAGAAAUUCAGGUGAUGGUUCUCCGAUUAGGGUUGUGGUUUGUUCAGGCCAAAAAUGGUUCCCAAAAGACUAUGUUUCAUAA